CGGGAUGUGGCGUAGUCCGGUUAGCGCACACGGCUGGGGGCCGUGGGGUCGCAGGUUCAAAUCCUGUCAUCCCGACUA
RNAcentral lists this transfer RNA (78 nucleotides) under Flavobacteriaceae bacterium. RNAcentral describes it as "tRNA-Pro". It matches the Rfam family "tRNA". From Rfam's summary of the family: Transfer RNA (tRNA) molecules are approximately 80 nucleotides in length. Lineage: Bacteria; Pseudomonadati; Bacteroidota; Flavobacteriia; Flavobacteriales; Flavobacteriaceae. The record is from RNAcentral.